AGAGUUUGAUCCUGGCUCAGAACAAACGCUGGCGGCGUGCCUAACACAUGCAAGUCGAACGAGAAAGGGACCUUCGGGUCCUGAGUAAAGUGGCGCACGGGUGAGUAACGCGUGGAUAAUCUGCCCUAAAGUCGGGAAUAACUCAUCGAAAGGUGGGCUAAUACCGGAUAAUGCUGCUUUCGCUAUGGCGAUGCAGCCAAAGGGGGCCUCUAUUUAUAAGCUCUUGCUUAAGGAUGAGUCCGCGUACCAUUAGCUAGUUGGUGGGGUAAUGGCCUACCAAGGCGACGAUGGUUAGCUGGUCUGAGAGGAUGAUCAGCCACACUGGAACUGAGACACGGUCCAGACUCCUACGGGAGGCAGCAGUGAGGAAUCUUGCGCAAUGGGGGAAACCCUGACGCAGCAACGCCGCGUGAGUGAGGAAGGUUUUCGGAUCGUAAAGCUCUGUCGGGUGGAAAGAAGUGCAUGGGAGCCAAUACCGCUCAUGCUUGACGGUACCACCAAAGGAAGCACCGGCUAACUCCGUGCCAGCAGCCGCGGUAAUACGGGGGGUGCAAGCGUUGUUCGGAAUUAUUGGGCGUAAAGAGCGUGUAGGCGGCUUGAUAAGUCAGAUGUGAAAGCCCUGGGCUUAACCCAGGAAGUGCAUUUGAAACUGUCUCGCUAGAGUAAGGGAGGGGGAAGUGGAAUUCCUGGUGUAGAGGUGGAAUUCGUAGAUAUCAGGAGGAACACCGGUGGCGAAGGCGACUUCCUGGCCCUAUACUGACGCUGAGACGCGAGAGCGUGGGUAGCAAACAGGAUUAGAUACCCUGGUAGUCCACGCCGUAAACGAUGUUCACUAGGUGUUGGGGGUAUUGACCCCCUCAGUGCCGGAGCUAACGCAUUAAGUGAACCGCCUGGGGAGUACGGUCGCAAGACUAAAACUCAAAGGAAUUGACGGGGGCCCGCACAAGCGGUGGAGCAUGUGGUUUAAUUCGAUGCAACGCGA
RNAcentral lists this ribosomal RNA (982 nucleotides) under groundwater metagenome. Its description in RNAcentral is "bacterial SSU rRNA". It matches the Rfam family "Bacterial small subunit ribosomal RNA", at positions 8 to 964 of the family's 1533-position model. The record is from RNAcentral.